Molecule: long non-coding RNA, 161 nt
Organism: Lynx canadensis (Canada lynx)
Lineage: Eukaryota; Metazoa; Chordata; Mammalia; Carnivora; Felidae
Exons: 4
Source: RefSeq, a predicted model, not a curated record
UUUUUUUUUUUUUUUUUUUACAGUCUUGACGUCUUUUAUUUUUUUUACAUUUAUCGCGCCAUGAAUUCAUAGGGAAUGGGUUCGAACAGCUCAGGCUCCUUUCCAUUGGUUCUCACAAAGUGUGCUUCUCUGGAGAGAACACCUCUGAACUCCAGGUCACG